CCUUACGGCAGGCACGAGUGCAAAUGAACUGCGUGACACGAUCUACAGCAAAGAGAAUAAACAGCCUGACAGAAAGAAAGUGUCUUUUCCUGAACUGGACAACAGGGAACCUACAAUACACAGCGCAGCACGUCUGCAUUCCUUGGAGCGGCUUCAUUAAAGUGGAUAUUGUUUCCAUCAUUACCAGCAUGAGAGGCAUGAAACAGUGAACUUUACAAGAUCGCAUAUCAAAGAAUGCAGCUUCAGGAUUAGGAAACCCUGCCUCAACCCCCCUCCCAGUUGAAACAGAAGGAGGGAAACCAGCUGAUCUCUACAAUUUUACGGAUCCAGACUGGGCUCCAACAUAAAAUAUGUGCCACAACAAAAUCAAAGAUGGUACUAAAGCGGUAGCUCGAAAUGCUAGGCUUACAGAGUGCAGAAAGAAAUGCAAAAUUAUUGAAGAAUCUUCCCAAACAAUCACAGAGUCAAUCGAACAAGAUUCAUGUCAAUCCACUACCUCAAAUACUACAGCCUCCU
Molecule: long non-coding RNA, 516 nt
Organism: Neoarius graeffei (lesser salmon catfish)
Lineage: Eukaryota; Metazoa; Chordata; Actinopteri; Siluriformes; Ariidae
Exons: 3
Source: RefSeq, a predicted model, not a curated record